Non-coding RNA from Phthorimaea operculella (potato tuberworm), 74 nucleotides. Lineage: Eukaryota; Metazoa; Arthropoda; Insecta; Lepidoptera; Gelechiidae. The record is from the annotation of a GenBank genome assembly.
GCGACCGUAGCUUAGUUGACAGAGCGGUGGGACGGUACCUCACGGUCCCCCAGGUUCCAGUCCCGGCGGUCGCU